CUGCAUGAUAAAAACACAAAACCUGGAAGUGGAUGGGUGCUACAGAUCAAUCAGCAUGUCUUGACUAUUCAUUCUUUAAUUUAAGAAAAGGAAACAGUUCGUAUAUAUAAUAUAUGCAUGUCAGCUGAUGCUUAAAUAUUGAAGAAAAUCAAGUUUAGCAAGAGACACACCUGAACUAAUGAGUUUUUUGCGUAACUGGUGUCCCCAUUUCCUCCCUUCAUGCAAAGCACUUGAGCUACUUCCAUCUCUUUCGUCCUACCUCUUCGCUGAUUGCUUCCUCUCAGUUGGAAUGUGGAUUAUGUUGAAGGAGAUGCUCCCCAUUUAUAGAACUUGGGCCACAUCGUCGUGGAAUGAAUUAUUUCAUCUUCUAGGGGCUCUGCUUCCACCGAACCCCAGUGACUCCUGGAAUUGGUGGACUAAUUAUUGUACUGAUCCCACGUGGUCGGCAGUCCUGAGGCCUGACAUCCACCAGAAGAUAGUACGCCACGUGGCAUACUGUCCAUCAAUGACUCGUUUAUCUCCGUUCAUCUCCGCGUGGGCCUAGGCUACCUAUUCAAGUAAUUAGGUCGGCAGCACUUUUGGAAACGGUUACCGGUUCUCAAUUAUUUUUUGAAACAAAAAAUAGAAGUACUUCAAAGGAAUGUGACAUUUUAUGUUUCACGUGAUCGAUGUAAUUCAUUUAUUUGCUUUUCCUAGAAACAUGAAGCGAUUGACAGAUUCCAAAAAUAAUGGUGGUCAUGAAACACGAUGAUGAAUGUAGGACAAGGUGGAGGUGGGUGCACAGGUUGGCCGCUGCCACCUUAGAACAAAUUGGUAUUAGUUAUCACCCACAAAAUAUCGGAGGUAGCCCUGCAGACGUUUGUUAGCUGACGUUUCCAUGCAUGACAGCCUCAUGUUAUUCUUCAAUCUAGUGACAGGUUUCGUCUCCUCUGAUCUUCUUUUUCAAAAUAAUCUGAGCCACACAAACCGAUGUCUGGAAUACAGUGAACUUUAUAAAAAAAGAAAAAAAAUGUAUUUAUAAUAUAUUUCAUGUCUUUAAAAAAUAUUAUUUCUAAAAUUUGAGAUAGUAAAAAUUUAAUAUAUUAUUUUUUUUAUAUAGAUUUUAAAAUUUAUUACUAAGAUAAAUCUCAAAGAACUCCUAUCUUUUACGUGGUCUAUAUUUUAAAAUAUAAAACAAUAAAUAACCUAGUACAACAAAUGAAAUAUGAAAAAUAAGAGUUCUAAUAUGAUUUAAUUUUUCAAUAUAAUCAUCAAAUAAAUAAAAAAAUUAAAAGAUUAUCUUAGAAGGUAAAAUCAAAACAAAGAUGAAAAGAUAAUAAUUUCAAGAAUAUAUGUAUUAAUUAAACUUAACAAAUAAAAAAUAUAACAUAUAAAACUAUAAAAAUUAUUUGAUUUUCAUAUAAAAGAUCAAGUCAAAACAAAUAAUAAUUCUUAUAAAAAUAAAAUUAUUAGAUGAGACUAUUGUCUAAGAAAAUAAUGUUCUUGAAAGGACCUACAAAGAAAAGAGUUAGAACUUAGGUUUAAUUAUUAUUAUUAUUAAUAAUAAAUAAAUGAAUAUGGAAAAACAAAAGUUUUUGUAUGAUUUAAUUUUUCUAUAUUAUUAUUAAAUAAAUAAAUAAAUUUAAAAAUUAUCCAAAAAGCAAAAUAAAAUAAGAAUAAUUUCAAGAAUAUAUAUAUAUAUGAGAAUUCUUGCAAAAAUUAAAAUUAAUACUAAAAAUUAUGAUGAGAACUUUUAACAUAAUAAAGUUCUUGAGAAGAUCAAUGGAGAGAACAGUUAUAAUUUACGGUUUCAUAAAAAAAAGUUAUAGAUAAUAUCUAUAGUUUAAUUAGUUAUAUAUUGAUAAUUUAUAUGCUCAUAUAAUAUUUUAUUUUUGUAAAGUUAAAAUUUUCGCUUACAUGACUGUAUGAUUUUAUAAAAUUUCUUUUUAUUUAAUAAAAGAUUAUAAAUUAAUGUGAUUUCAAGUGAUAAGUCCUCUUAUAUUAAAUAAAAUUAUUAUAGCCUCUUUGUAUUAAAAAGCUAAGGUUGUAUUUGGUUUCCAACAAGUAUUAAUGAAAACAAAAAUUAAAUGCUAAAAAAAUGAUUUUUUUGUUUAUUUGAUUGUUCUAUGGAAAAUAUAAAAGAAAAUCAAUUAUUGUUAAGAUUAAUUAGAAAUUUAUAUAUUUUCAAAUUAUUUAAUCUUUAUAUCGAAAAAAAUAAAAUAAGUGAAAUGGGUUUGAAAUAACAUAUAAAAAUAAUUUUUUAAUUUUAAAUUUAUUUUUAUUAAAAAAUAUGAGAAUUUAUCGGAUUAUGGGAACUUGUGGAUGAUCACCCAUAUUGAUGUCUUUUUAUGACUCCCUAUAAAAGGGAGAUACCUCUAAGGAAAAUUCAUUUUAUUCUUUUCCCACAUUCUAAUUUCUCUUUCUUGUUUUCUUUUUUCACUUUAUAAUUUUACAACACGUAGAAAGAUUUUUCUCUAUUCAGAGAAACAGAAAAACGUUCUCCUUUUCAAAAAAAUAGAAAGAUUCUUCUUUCUUCUUUCUCACAAAAAGGUAUGUAAUAAACUUAUAUUAUGAUUUUCAAUUUUGUUAACCUUUGAUCUCUAUUUUCAUUUAUUUUAUUUGAAUACAUAAAUAUGUAUAAUCCCUAUAACCAGAAGUUAUGCGGUAAAUUAUAAAUUAUGGGGUAAAUUCAUAACCAGAAGUUAUGAAAAAUGUGUGCAAUUCCUAUAACCAGAAGUUAUGGGGAAAAAUUACAGAAUUAUAGAUAUAUGACCAGAAGUUAUGUAUAUGAUCCCUAAUUAUUUAUUUGUAAUUAUUCGAUAUAACUGGAUGUUAUACCAAACAAUAUUAUAUAGCUAGAAGUUAUAAAAUAAAUAAAUAAAUAAAUGUUCAUAGCCUGAAGCUAUGUACAAAUUUACAUAAAAUAAUUCAUAACUUGAAGCUAUAUAUUACUUUGCACAUUUUUGUUAUGAUAAAAUAAUCAUAGCCCGAAACUAUGAAAGAAAAUAUAUAUAUAUUAAAUUUUUAUUUUUAUUUCAUAUUUAUACAUUUUUCCCAUAUUUAUAAUUGAUAGAUUUUAGGUCAUUAUAUUUUUAGAUAUUGUUUACUUGAAAUAUUGUUAAAGCAUUUUAUUAAUAGUUUAUUAUAAUAAUUGAAAUAUUUCUCUGAUUAAUAUUAUAUAUAGUUUUUAGAUAAUGUCAAACUUGUAAAGCUUGAAUUUGUUGCCCUCGAUAUUUCGGGCAAGAACUACUUAUCUUGGGUUCUGGAUGCUCAAAUUCAUCUAGAUGCGAUGAAUCUUGGAAAUACCAUUAAAGAAGGAAAUGACGCAUCUUUGCAGGAUCGCACCAGAGCUUUGAUAUUCCUUUGCCGUCACAUUGAUGAAGGAUUAAAAGGUGAAUACCUUAUGGUUAAAGAUCCUUUCAUCCUUUGGAAUAAUCUAAGGGAACGAUAUGACCACCAAAAGACCGUAAUUCUUCCAAAGGCACGCUAUGAUUGGAUGCACUUGAGAUUACAAGAUUUCAAGUUUGUUAGUGACUACAACUUGGCCUUAUUCAAAAUUAGCUCACAAUUAAAAUUGUGUGGAGAAAAGGUCAUUGAAGAAGAUAUGCUUGAAAAAAUAUUCAAAACUUUUCAUGCCUCGAAUGUGCUCCUGCAACAGUAAUAUCAAGAGCGUUGUUUCACUAAAUAUUCAGAAUUGAUCUCAUGUCUUCUUGCGGCUGAACAAAAUAAUGAGCUAUUAUUGAAAACCCAUCAAUCUCGUCCUAUUGGGUCUAUGUCAUUGCUUGAAGCCAAUGCCACAUGUAUUCAAACCCUUGGACAGGAACAAAGACGUGGAUAUGGACGAGGUUGAGGACGUGGUAAACACAAUUCUUCUCAUCGUAGUGGUUCUCAAAGUAAAAAAGAACAACUCAAAUCACCAAAAGUGGAAUAAUUCAGAGACACAACCUGAAAAGGGGAUAGAACCACAAAGUAAACAUGCUCGUGAGAAUAACUGUCAUAGAUGUGGCAUGAAAGGACAUUGGUCACGUACUUGUCAUACUCCAAAACAUUUUGUUGACCUUUAUCAAGCCUCAAUAAAAGUAAAAGGAAAGGAAGUUGAAAUGUACUUCAUUGAUAGUGAUGGCCCGGUAGAUCCAACCCAUUUAGAUGUUUCAGAUUUCUUUGAGAAUCCUAAUGGGAAAAUUGACCAUCUAAUUGGUGAUGGAAAUGUUUGUUAUAAUUAAAUGUUACGUUCUUAUUUAGUUCCUUGCAAAUAGGUUUAUUUUGUUAUCAUCUUUAAAUACAUUGUUUAUUAUUCAUCUUUUAUAGUCUAUUUCACAUUUUAUUAUUUCUUAUUUAAAUUAUUCUCUUUAUUUAUUCUUGAAGAUACAUGGAUCUUUCUCACACUUUGGUACAUCAUACGACAUCCAAUGUAAAUGCAUGUCUUACAGAUUGUGCCACAACACACACAAUCCUUCGUGAUAAAAAAUAUUUUUCCAACAUAUCAUUGGUUAAGUCUAAUGUUAAUACAAUAUUAGGUCUUGUAGACUUGAUUCAAGGCUUCGGAAGAGCAACUAUUAUUUCACCUAGAGGAACUAAAAUCCACAUUAAUGAUGCCCUUUAUUAUACUAAAUCCAAGCGAAAUCUUCUUAGUUUCAAGGAUAUUCGCCGAAAUGGAUAUCACAUUGAAACUAUGAAUGAUGAUAGUAAUGAAUACCUUCUUAUUACUUCAAUUAUUUCUGGGGAAAAACACCUCUUGAAAAAAGCUUCCUUCUUAUUCUUGUGGGUUAUAUCAAACAAUCAUUAGACCCAUUGAGUCAUAUGCUAUCAUGAACUAAAAGUUCUGUGACUUAAAAACUUCUUGGUCAUCCAGGAUUAUCCAUGAUGUGUCGUAUCAUCAACAAUUCUUUAGGGCAUCCCUUGAAGAACCAGAAUAUUAUGAUGCCCAAUGAUUACAAUUGCGUUGCUUGCUCACAAGGUAAAUUAAUUAUUAAACCAUCAUUUACGAAGGUUGAAUAUGAAUCACCAGCCUUUCUAGAACGCAUUCAAGGUGAUAUUUGUGGACUUAUUCAUCCACCUAGUGGACUUUUUCAUCAUUUUAUGGUUUUAAUUGAUGCAUCAACUCGUUGGUCUCAUGUUUGUUUUCUUUCAACUAGAAAUAUUGCCUUCACCAUAUUACUUGCUCAAAUAAUUUGACUCAAGGCACAAUUCCUUGAUAAUCCUAUUAAGAGGUACAAUUCCCUGAUAAUCCUAUUAAGAGAAUUUGUCUUGAUAAUGUUGGUGAAUUUUUCUCUCAAACAUUUCUUGAUUAUUGUAUGUCGGUUGGUAUUGAUGUUGAAUAUCCUGUUGCUUAUACCCAUACUCAGAAUGGAUUAGCUGAAUCUUAAUUAAGAGUUUGCAACUGAUUGCAAGACCAUUACUCUUAAGAACAAAAUUACUCUUGUCUGCUUGGGGGCAUGAUAUUCUUCAUGCUGUCACUUUAAUUCGAAUUCACCCUACAGCUAAUCACGAUUGCUCACCUUUACAACUUGCUUUAGGCUCCCAACCAAAUGUUUCACAUUUUCAUAUUUUUGGUUGUGAUGUCUAUGUUCCCAUAGCUCCACCUCAACGUUCCAAGUUAGGACCUCAACGUCGAAUUGGUAUAUAUGUUGGUUUUAAUUCUCCCUCCAUUAUCUGUUAUCUUGAACCAGCCACAGGUGAUGUUUUUACUGCCCACUUUGCAGAUUGUCAUUUUGAUGAAAAUGUUUUCACGCCAUUAGGGGGAGACAAGUCAAAAGAAUGGCGAGACAUUACAUGGUAUGUGCCCUCCUUGUCUCAUCUUGAUCCUUGCACAAGACAAUGUGAGUUAAAAAUUCAAAGGAUUGUUCAUUUGCAAGGACUUGCAAAUCAAUUACUUGAGGCUUUCACAGAUAUUAAGAAAAUAAUAAAGUCACAUGUGCCAGUUGUGAACGCCCCAACACAUAUUGAUGUCCCUGAAGGACAAAUGGAGAAUGCCAUAGCAAAUGAAUCUAAGACAUGCCUGAAGCAUGGUAGACCUAUUGGCUCAAAGGAUUUAAUUCCUAGAAAAAGAAAAGGAACAACAUAUGAAAAACUUAGUACUCCUGAAGAGUUCACUAAUAUGAAAGGGUCAAAUGAUGAAACCCAAUCUGACAAACAGUUAGCUCCUGAAGAGGUACAAAUUGAUCAAAUACCGGUAUCUAGAAUUGAAGAGAUCUCAAUGAGUCACACGAGAGAAACAAAGGACUGUAGCAAUAUUAUCAUAUAUAAUAUAUUCGCAUUCCAAGUGGCUAUGGACAUCAUGAGAAAUGAUGAAUAUCAAGAACCACAAGUUGUGAAUGAAUGUCGAAAAAUGAAUGAUUGGCCAAAACGGAAAGAAGCAAUCCAAACAGAGCUAAACUCGUUAACAAAACGAGAGGUAUUUGGACUUGUAGUUCAAACACCUGGAAACAUAAAGCCUAUUGGAUAUAAAUGGGUCUUUGUGAAAAAACGAAAUGAGAAUGAUGAAAUCAUAAGAUAUAAAGUACAACUUGUUGCUCAAGGUUUUUCUCAAAGACCUGGUAUAGACUAUGAGGAAACUAAUUCUCCUAUAAUGGAUGCAAUCACACUUCGAUACUUGAUAAAUUUAAUAGUCUCUGAAGGACUAGAUAUGCAUCUUAUGGAUGUUGUUACAACCUAUUUAUAUGGGUCUAUAGAUAUUGACAUAUAUAUGAAAAUCCUUAAAGGAUUCAAAUUGCCUAAAGCAACUAAUCCAAAACCUCGAAACAUGUACUCAAUCAGACUACAAAGAUCUUUGUACGGAUUAAAGCAAUCCAGACGUAUGUGGUAUAAUUGUUUGAGUGAGUAUUUGUUAAAAGAAUGAUAUGUGAAUAAUUCAAUUUGCCCAUGUGUUUUUAUCAAGAAAUCAAAAUUUGGGCUUACAAUAAUUGCAGUGUAUGUGGAUGAUUUAAACCUUAUAGGAACUCUUGAAGAGCUCACAAAAGCAGCCAAUUAUUUAAAGAAGGAAUUUGAAAUGAAAGACUUGGGGAAAACAAGAUAUUGCCUCGGCCUGCAAAUCGAGCAUUGUUCAAAUGGCAUAUUAGUCUAUCAAUCGAAAUAUACAGAGAAAGUAUUAAAACGAUUUUAUAUGGACAAAUCACAUUCAAUCAAUUCCCCUAUGGUUGUUCAUUUACUUGAAGUGAACAAAAGACCCAUUUCGUCUUAAAGAAGAAAAUGAAGAAUUGCUUGGUCCAGAAGUACCAUAUCUCAGUGCAAUCAGUGCACUAAUGUAUCUUGCAAAUUGUACUAGACCAGACAUAACAUUUUCUAUCAACUUACUAGCAAGAUACAAUUCUGCCCCAACUAAAAGGCAUUGGAAUGUGAUUAAACAUAUAUUACGAUACCUUCGUGGAACAAGUGACAUGAGUUUAUAUUAUUCAAAAGAAUCAAAAUCACAAUUGAUUGGGUAUGCAGAUGUAGGGUAUCUUUCAUAUCUUCAUAAAGCUUGAUCUCAAAUGGGAUAUGUCUUUACUUAUGGUGGGACGUUAAUAUCUUGGAGAUCAGUCAAGCAAACACUGGUAGCCACAUCUUCAAAUCAUUUAGAAAUUCUUGCAAUUCAUGAAGCAAGUCGUGAAUGCGUAUGACUAAGGUCAAUGAUCCAACAUAUACAAGAAACAUGUGGACUACUUUCCAUCAGAGGCAAUGCAUCUAUGUUACAUGAAGAUAAUGCUGCUUGUAUUGCACAAAUUAAAGGAGGAUUCAUAAAAGGUGACAGAACUAAGCAUAUCUCCCCUAAAUUAUUCUAUACUCAUAAGCUCCAAAAGAAAAAUGAGAUUGAUGUUCAACAAAUUUGAUUAUGCAAUAAUCUAGCAGAUCUAUUCACAAAGGCGUUACUUUCGACCACAUUGAAAAAGUUAAGGUAUGACAUUGGAAUGCAAAGACUAAGAGAUCUACCAUUUAAAAUGUUGAAGAAAUCAUAAUCAUGUUUACAUGAGAGGAAGAAUGCUAAUAUGGAUAUAUUGCACUAUUUUUUCCUUCGUCCAAGUUUUGUCCCAUUGGGUUUUACUGACAAGGUUUUUAAUGAGGCAGUUACCAUAUUCUUAUGAUCAUCCAAGGGGGAGUGUUAGGAAAUAUGAAAAUUUAUCGGAUUAUGGGAACUUGUGGAUUAUCAUCUAUAUUGAUGUAUAUCUCUUUGUGAUUCCUUGUAAAAGGGAGAUACCUCUAAUGAAAAUCCAUUCUAUUUUCUUCCUACAUUCUAAUUUUUCUUUCUUGUUUUCUUCUUUCACUUUAUAAUUUUACAACAAUUUUUUAUUUUCUUUACUUUUUCUUUUAAUCCACUAAAAACUCUCUAUUUUCUUUCUUUCACAUUUCCCACAAAAUUUUCGGUAACUAAACAUAGCCUAAGAAAAUCAUUCAUAUUAUUUUUAAAUAUUUUUAUUAUGCUACAUGUUGUUGCAAUUCUACUUUUUAAAUAAAAAUUAUUUUUGAAAGUGUUUAUAAGGUUUAGAGUAGAAAAUAAUUAUUUAACUUACAAAUAUAUUUGACAAUUAUUUAUUUAUUUAUUGAAAAUAGCUUUUUGAGAAAUAUUUGUUCUCAAAAUUGUGUGAUGUUUUAAAACAAAUUUAAAGUGUUUAUGAAUUGAUUAGAAAAAUAAUUGAAAAUAUGGAGAAGAUUUUGAAAAACAAAGAAUAAAGUGAGAAAAUUAAUAAUUUUUAUAUUUAGAAUAAGAACCUUCUUUAUUGGAACUCUUGGCAUUCUCCAAAUUAUUAAUUUGGGAGGUCUCUCCACUCUAUUUCAUCCAAAUUACCAACCCAUUCACUCAUUUAGAGUUUUUUCUUAUGUUAAAUUCAACGUCAUGUAUAAAUACUUGUAUUUGAAUUGUCCGAGUAUCAUAUAUGGCAACCUUUUUUCUUUCAACUACUAUAAAAUUAAUUUAACUUUUUAUGAAUAUGCUUAAAAUAUUGGCUUGAACACAAAACAGUGAUAUCUAAGGCAAAGCACAGAGCAGAGGAAGCCAUAACCAAUCUCUAUUGUAGCAUCUUGCCACAAUGCUUAGGCAUAGCUGAGUUGGGUUGUUCUUCUGGACCCAAUGCUCUUUUUGUCGUCCAAGAACUUGUGAUCACAACCUACAAAGUCUAUCAGAAACUAGGUCGUCAGUAGCCGGAAAUUCAAGUGUUCCUCAAUGAUCUUCCAGGAAAUGAUUUCAACACUCAUUAAAACCGUCACAAAAUUUCAACAAAAUUUGUCACAAGAGAUGGGCAAUGGUGUUAGACCAUGCUUUUCCAUGGGACUUCUGGGUUCUUUCUAUUACAAACAUUUCCUUAGCCGAAGUCUACAUUUUGCCCAUUCUUCUUACAGCCUGCAUUGGCUGUCUCAGGUGACCAAGUAUUUGUCCUUUUACAGCUACAAUAAUAUAUUGACAAAGAAGGAACCAUGAAAUUUAUUUGGAGUACAAUUGUUUAUUAGGUUCCUCCAGGUUUAGAGGACAAUAAAGGUAAUAUUUUCAUGUCAAGUUCAAGCCCACCAAGCGCACUUAAGGCUUACUAUGCACAGUUCCAAUAGGAUUUUUCGGUGUUCCUCAAGCAUCGCUCAGAGGAAAUAGUUGGAGGGCGUAUGGUCGUCACAAUCAUAUGGGGAGAAGAAGUGAAGAGCCUACCAGUAAAGAGUGUUGUUACAAUUGGGAGCUUUCGGCUUUGGCUCUCAGGGAUAUGGUCUCAGAGGUAUACAUUACCGUAUUUAAGCUCCUUCAUGUUGUUUCAGUCCAAUGCUGCCAAUUUGUACUUCAUCAUUAAGGAAUAAGGAAUAACUCUUCUUGUGGUAACAAAGAAAUUGCUUAUAAACAAUGCAGGGGCUCAUAGAAGAAGAAAAAUUGGAUUCCUUCAACAUUCCUCAAUGUACGCCAUCUCCUACGUACUGGAAUGAAGCUUGAGAUUGAAGAGGAAGGAUCAUUUGUCAUAGACCGGCUAGAAGUUUUUGAAGUGGACUGGGAUUAUUACGAGAGUGGUGGUCCUUGUAAUGCUGCAAAGGGUAUUAGAGCGGUGGCAAAAUGAAUGUUUGCUGCUCACUUUGGGAGUGGAAUCAUAGAAGAGGUGUUCCGCAGACACACGGAGAGAUUGUUGUUAAUCGCAAUUCCAAAUAGAAGCCUCAGUAUGUCAAUUUGGUUGUUUCCAUGACUGUAAGUGGAUGAUCAAAGUGAACGUUGUCUUUAAUUAUCAUCAAUUUUAAUGUUGCCUUAAAUUUCAAUAAGUAGAAAGAUUCAUAUAAGAUUGGGUAUUUAGAUGAUGAUGAUCAAUUGUCGAACGCAUUGAAUAAAUGUUUGAGUAAAUAGAACUUUUAUUCUGUUGAAGAAAAUACUAAAUAUCUUCAUGAUACUUUUAUUGCAUGCUUGGAUGAUAUAAAUGAAUUUAAAAUUCAGAGUACAUUUAUUGUAUCCCUUAAUUUGAAUGCUUAAGUCCUCAACUAUGUACUUCAAAGAAUAAGGAAGAGAAAAAGAGAGUAUCAUAAUUUUAUGGAGUAAUGACGCCAAGGGUAUUUGCUUUUCUCAUUUGAUUUGUCAUUGUCUAUUUAAAAUACAUUUGUUUCUAUGAUUUAGGGGAUUGAUCAUGGUUUGGUUAAAUCAUCAACACAACAAUGGGAUUGCAACACUAGAAUGGGCUCCAUGCCUUAAUCCCUAUGCUGACUGUGUGAGGGUGCCUUACUCCAUAUGUUGACGAUGCGAGGACGUUUUUCUUUUUUAAUGCUUCUACCUAGAAAUAACAAUAAUAUAACCAUAUUCUACAUUAUAAUAAUUGUUGUCUCAAUGUGAUAUAUAUCUUUGUGUAUCGUUUUAAAACUAACCAUUUUUUUAUAUUUCAGACAGACAUGAAAUUCUAAUUAUAUGGUAAUUGAGCAUGUUAAAAAUUUAGAGUGUAGUUAUUUAUAAAAAUUGAUCUACCUAUAAAUAAAUAAAGGAGUGAAUAAAAAAAAUAAAAAAUAAAAUUGAUCAUCUCCACGUUUUUCUUUUUUAAAUUUUCAUUACCUACAAAUGGGAAUUAAAAAAAUACAAAAAGUUCCUUGAGAUUUUUAAAAUUUGGUUGAAUAUAGGAUUCCCAUUAGGAUGCUGACAAACCAACAUAUGCUAAAGACAACUACACUUUCAUCGUCUAGAUUUAAUAAUAUGUUUGACAACAAAACAUCUUGUCACAAAGGGGGAAUCUACACAAAUUGGAUGGAUACUUGAUCAUGGAAAGCUUAUUUUAGUGAGGCUUACACGCACGUUCUGAAAUAUAAGAGUAAUAAAAUAAGCAAGGCAACAGUAGAUAAACGUGACCAAUGAAGCAGCCGCCAUGUUGACUGUUGGAUGAAGCAGCUUGCCCUGUUGAGUGUUGGUCAUCCACGCUUAGUCAUGGAAACCGUGACAUUUACGAAUUCAGUCUUCUCUCUGGUCAUGCGAUCAGCAACAAUCUUUUUGUACCUGCUGAACACUUCCUCUAUUAUUCCAUCACCGAAGUGGCUUACAAGCAAUGGCUCUGCAACUGCUCUCAUCAACUUGGCCACGUUGUAUCCACCAUCUUUAUGAGCAUCUGAUGGGCAGAAUUCACCGUGGUACGCAUUCCAGUUCACUUCAGAAACCUCCAGCCGAUUUAUGGUGAAGGAUCCUUCCUUUUCAACCUCACAUUUUACUUCAGCUGGGGAAGGUGUAUAUUGAGGAAUAUUGAAGGAAUCCAUCUUCUCCUCAUCUAUGAGCCCCUGCAUUUAAAAAUGGUUAAUUAAUUUACAUGCAAUUUCAUAUAUAGUUACCACACAGGUGCUGUUGCUGAAUGAUUUGAUCUAUACAAAUUGGCAACAUUAAGGGAUGAAAGAAUUAAAACUGUACCUCUGAAACCAUAUCAUUGAGAGCCACAGCUAAGAGCUCCCAGAUAUAGCAACAUUCUUUGCUAGAGGGAUCUUCACUUCUUCUUCCUAAAAAUGUUAAAACCAUAGUCCCUCCUCCUAGUAGUUCCUCCGACCGACACCUGAGAAACAUGGAGAAAUCGCUUUGGAAUUGCUCAUAGUAUGCUUUAAGCACGCUUGGUGGGCUCGAACUGGCCAUGUAAAUAUUCCCUUUGUUCUCCAGCCCUCGAGGAACCUGACGAACAAUUGAAGUUUCUAACUCACUUGCUUUCUUUUUGGUUACUAAUAAAUCAUCAUAAACCAGUAUUUUUAAUUAAAAGCAAAGAGUCACCUGAGACAACCAUUGGAGACUGUAAGAAGAAUGGACAAAAUGAAGACUUUUGCUGGGGAAGAGCCUGCAGUAGAAAGAGCCUGGAACUCCGGUUACAAAACAUGAUUCAGCGCCUGCUCCCAUUGUUUUCUGAAGAUCUUUCUGGAACUUGGGCAAGGAUUUGAAAAUGGUGUUGAAAUCAUUUCCCGGCAGAUCAUUCAAAAACACUUGAAUUUCGGGCAAUUGACGCCCCAUUUUCUUCCCCACCUUGUCCACUGUAGUGACAACUUCCAAGACUGCAAAAAAAGUGUUGGGUCCAGAAGAACAGCCCAAGUCUGCGAUGCAUAGGCUGGCCGGGAAGUUGUUGCAGUAGAGAUUUGUUAUGGCGUCCUCGAUUAUAGGCUUUGUCAAGGAUAUUACUUUUUUCUGCACCAUUAAAGUGGAACUUGUCAUAAUUGAAAACUUUUCAGAAAAACGGCAGUAUAUUGUACCUGCGUGAUAAAAACACAAAAUCUGGAAGUGCAUGGGUGCUACAGAUCAAUCAGCAUGUCUUGACUAUUCAUUCUUUAAUUUAAGAAAAGGAAACAGUGCAUAUAUAUAAUAUAUACAUGUCAGCUGAUGCUUAAAUAUCGAAGAAGAAUUAAAUUUAGCAAGAGACACACCUGAACUAAUGAGUUUUCUGCGUAACUGGUGUCCCCAUUUCCUCCCUUCAUGCAAAGCACUUGAGCUACUUCCAUCUCUUUCUUCCUGCCUCUUCGCUGAUUGCUUCCUCUCAGUUGGAAUGUGGAUUAUGUUGAAGGAGAUGCUCCCCAUUUAUAGAACUUGGAGCCACAUCUUAGUGGAAUUAAUUUUUUCAUCUUCUAUGGGCUCUACUUCCACCGAACCCCCGAUUGGCACUAGUGGAACUGAUAAUUCAGGAUUGAUGUCACAUUGUGGGUAGUCCUGAGUCCUGACGUCCACUAGAAGAUAGCACGCCACAUGCUGUCCACUAAUAUCCGGGUGGGUCCAUGCUACCUAUUCAAAUAUCUAGGUCGGCAACACUUCUGGGAAGAACUCUACAAAAUAAAAAUAGAAAUACUUUAAAAUCAUUCUAAAAAAUAAUCUAUUUUUAAAUACAAAAUCAUUAAAAUAGACUAAAACUUAAACCUAAAAGAUUCGAUUCAUAAUUUAUAUCAUACACUUUCUCGUACCAAACAUAUGGUAAACCUUAUUGGCUAGAUGAGGGCGAAUCUGCCUAUGAGAGUGAUUUUUUUUUUUUUUCAAUAUUUCUCCAUUUUAAAAUUUUUUUUCAUACAUUUUUAUGAUUUAUUUUAUCAUUUGUUAAAGUGGUAAGCAAUCAUUAAAUACACAAAAUAAUUUUUUAUUUUAUUUAUUUAUAUUAUAUCUUCAACUUUAAGAGUGAAUUACUUUAACAAAGGAUAAAAUUAAGAACAACCCAUAAUAAGUACAAGGACAUGAGUCUACUUUAUUUUAACAUUGAUGCCUCAGUUCUAGUAUGAACAUUAGACCAUGUCUCAGGGAAAAAGUCUAAACCUUGUUCUCACCGAGAAAAGUAAAAGGGGGAAAGUGUGAGAAAGGGUGAGAAAGUGUAAAACUGAUGCAGCUUUUUGCAGGUGUCUGCGACAACAUGAGAGACUUAUUGCAUUGAGUUUUGUUCUAAUUGGCUAGAUAUGCCAUCAUUUCCCCUCCCCCCCCUUCAAAAGAAUGUCACAUUUUAUGUUUCACGUGAAUCAUAUCUGCUAAUAAUUUGAGGCGGGUGUUUUAUUUAUUUCCUUUUCCUACACCUACGAAACUUCAAGUGCAUGAUUGACAGAUUUCAAAAAUAAUACUACUAACAUGGACAUGUGGGCAUGAAACACGAUGAUGGAAGUAGGACAAGGUCAAGGUUGGCGCAUGGGUUGGCCGCAGCUACCUUAAAACAAAUUGGUAUUAGUUAUCGGCCACAGAAUAUUGGAGGUACCACAGGAGCAUGACGCUUUCUGAACAACCCUGCAGGCGUUUGUUAGCUGACGUUUCCAUGCAUGACACCAUCUGCCUCAUUUUUUCUUCAAUCUAAUGUGAAGUUUGUCUCCUCUUAUCUUCUUUUUCAAAAUAAUAUCCAUUCAAAUAUGCCAACCAAGUCAAUUUUAGUUGAAAAAUAGCUAUCUGCAAAAAGUUGUGACCGUGGAGGAAAGACGUAACUGAUCUACCACAUGAUGAACUAGUUAAGAUCCCAUGAAUAUUAAGUCAACGGUUUGGUUGGUAUCACAAAGAACAGAUCUUAUCACUAAAAUUAGAUUUUUUUUUUUUUUUUCACACUAAAUGGCCAAGAGUUGGUUUGGAAGGGGAUCUUGGUAAAGUGUUUUUAGUUUUCAACACUUAUAAGUAGAAUCAGUUAGUGUAGUAAUAUUUUUAAUUAUGUGUUGUAUAACAAAAAUUCAUUUUUGAAAUAUGAUUAAAUGUUUCUUUGGAUACACUCUUAUUUUUUGUUUUCAUGUUGAAGACACCAAAAAAACUAACUUUUGGCAAGACCCAUGAAAUUCAAAGUUCAUUCAUUGGAAAGGAUCCGCCCAGAUCUGGUUCCAAAACAAUGGUAAAUUUAUCACUUUUUUUCAUUGACCAUAUCAAAGUGUAAUACCCCAAACCCUAAAUAAAAUCAUAAUUCAAAAAACUCUUUUACAUAGAGAUGAGAAAUAUCAAAGAACAUAGAACUGAAGAUUUGGAGGUUUAGGGUUUGAGGAUCAAUUUUUUCGGGUAAGAUUUUUAAUCCUUAAAUUAAUAUUCUAUAUUCAUUAAUUAGUUUUAAACACUUUAGAUAUUCUUUACAAUAUCUCAAUUUUGAUUAGAGUUCGUUUAAUUAAUUUAUAAGUCAAAAAGAUUAAAAAAUUAUAAACAUAGUUUGAUUUAUUAAUGGAGAUGGACAAAUUUUGAUCACUCAAAUGAAUAGAUCUAGAAAAAAAAUAUAAUAAAUAAAAAAAAUAAGAGUAGUGUGAUUUUCUAGAACAGUGAAGAAAAAAUUAUAAUUAUAAUAAUAUAGAUGUGUGUCGUGUAGUAGAGGGUUUAAAAGAAAAAAAAAAAAAAAAAAAGAAUGCGUGUGUACAUCUAGGAAAUGAAGAAAUAAAAGAAGAAGAAAAAACAAGUGUUAUUAUUAUAAUAAUAAUAAUGGGCGUAGUUGGUGGCUUGGAGUAACGGUGUUGUAGGGUUUUGAAAAGUAAUAUUAAUAUUAAUAAUAUAUAUAUAUAUAUAUAUAUAUAUAUAUAUAUAUAUAUAUAUAUAUAUAUAUAUAUAACACAUUAAGACUAACAUGCCGAGAAAUGUAUAUUUUAGCAAAUAACAUGUUAAGACAUGUCAUUAAGUUGUAUUUAUAAAAAUUGAUGUACCUAUAAAUAAAUAAAGGAGUGAAUAAAAAAAAAAAAUUGAUCAUCUCCACGUUUUUCUUUUUAAAAUUUUCAUUACCUACAAAUGGGAAUAAAAAAAUACAAAAAGUUCCUUGAGAUUUUUAAAAUUUGGUUGAAUAUAGGAUUCCCAUUAGGAUGCAAACAUAUGCUAAAGACAACUACACUUUCAAUAUCGUCUAGAUUUAAUAAUAUGUUUGACAAUAAAACAUCGUGUCACAAAGGGGGAAUCUACACAAAUUGGAUGGAUACUUGAUCAUGGAAAGCUUAUUUUAGUGAGGCUUACACGCACGUUCUGAAAUAUAAGAGUAAUAUAUAUAUAUAUAAUGUAUAUAUAACGUAUAACAUGUGUUCUAAUAAUAGUAAUAAUAAUGGGCGUUGGCUUGGAGUAAUGGUGUGCCAGGUCUUUAAAAGUAAUAUUAAUAUUAAUAAUAUAUAUAUAUAAUGUGUGUAGUUGGUUAAGUGAAAGUUGGAUUAUGGGAAUAAUAAUAAUAAUAAUAAUAAUAGUUUUAUGUAUAGGUUUUAAUUUAAUUUAAGUAUAUAAAGAAAUAAAUAGUGAGGGUAAGAUUAGGAAAGAAAAUGAAUUUUACAAUAAUUUGAAAACUCUGUAAAUUAAUUUAUUAUUGUUUAGCAAGUUGAAAAUAAUAUUGGGUAGUAAUAAUAUUAGCAUGAGAAAUUAAUUAGAAUCCCUAAUACUAAAUAAAAUAUUUUUAGGAUUGUGAAAUUUUUACCUUUAGAUAAUUGUGUAUGAUAUUAUGUUAGGUGAUGAGUAAAUUCGUUCAGCUAAGUACUUCAAGUUUUUGAGCACUUCUUCAAGGUAAGGGAAAUUAAUGCAAAUUUUUAUAAAAGAAAAUAAUUUUCUUUUUAUAUUGUAUUUUGAAAUGUGUAAAAAUAUUAUUUUUAUCUUUAUGCAUGAAUCAAAUAUGUGUUUUGUAUGAAAUGUAUAUUUGAACAUUUUCUUUGUUUAUAAAAAAUGAAAAAUUUAGGAGAUAUGAUGUUUUGUUUUGUAAGUUUGAAUUAAUGAUAUAAAGUGUUUGACUUUACAUUAUAUGACUCUAGUCAACGGGUUAUAAGUUCCCAGAUGAGGUCCCAACAUCAACAGUAGAGGCAACGAGGCUAGUAGUAUUAGAGACAUUCUUCAUUCUACGCUAGAGGUGAGUAGGGUGCUCAGAGGGCGGCUAUUGCUAAAGUAUGUUAUGGUUGUGGGGUAGGAGAUCAUUUAUGGAGGGCUUGCCCAUUAAGGGGUGCACGACAAGCUCAAUUUAAGCCAUAAAGAGGUCCUCAGCAACAACCAAUAUUGCAUUUCCAGCCUCCUCAAUUUCACCUACACUACUACCAGAUGUCGCAGUUAUCCCCAGUAGUGUAGGGAGCCUAGACAACCACUAUGAGUAGUCAGACUCCAUCUUCUCAAGGAUCGAGUGCUAGAAGUAAAGGGAGGCAGGCGGCAGGUAGAGUUUUUGCCUUGACCCCAAUAAAGUUAGAGAAUGACGUCAUUUUGGUGGAAAGUAUGGUUUUGGUCCAUAGUACUUAGGUGCGUAUUUUGUUUGAUACUGGUGCAACUCAUUCUUUUAUUUCUGUAUCUUGUGCUAAUAUAUAGGGGAUGAAAACGAAAAUAGUAAAAAAUCUAUUACUUAUCGAAUNNNNNNNNNNNNNNNNNNNNNNNNNNNNNNNNNNNNNNNNNNNNNNNNNNNNNNNNNNNNNNNNNNNNNNNNNNNNNNNNNNNGGGGAUGAAAACGAAAUAGUAGAAAUCCAUUACUUAUCGAAUCCUUAUGGGUACGAAUUCUAGAGUUGAUAGAAUAUGCAAGGAGUGCAUUAUUACCUUGGUAGAUAGAGCACUUAAGGUGGAUUUGAUGAUUUUGGAUAUGACUAGGUAUGAUGUUAUCUUGGGAAUGGAUUGGUUGACAAUGUAUAAAGCACUUAUUAAUUGUCAUCAUCGUAGGAUAAUAUUUUGUCUGUCAGAUGGAUUUGAGAUUUGCUUUGUUGGGGGGAAGUGUAUUAGUUUUGCCCUUUUCGCAGUCCGAUCCAUGCUAUUAGUAUGUGUUGAGGAAGGGAUCAAUAAAUUUCCUAGCUUGUCUUUUUAGUAAGGAAAAAACCUAGAAGGACUUUACAAAAAUUCUAUUAGUGGGGAAGUUUCAAGAUGUAUUUCCAGGUGAGCUACAAGGUUUACCACCAUAUAGAGAGUUUGAUUUCUCUAUUGAAGUAUAUCCAGGAACGGAUCCUAUCUCGGCAACCCCCUAUAGGAUGGUGCCUCUUGAGUUGAAAGAGUUGAAAACUCAAUUUGAGGAAUUGUUGAGUAAAAGUUUUAUUCGUCCAAAUACAUUACCAUGGGGAGCCCCAAUGUUGUUUAUGAAGAAUAAAAAUGACACAUUAAGGUUGUGUAUUGACUAUAGGAAGUUGAAUAGAGUUACUAAGAAGAAUAAGUAUCAUCUUUCAAUGAUAGAUAAUUUGUUUGAUCAGUUGAAGGAUGCGAAGUGUUUUAGUAAGAUUGACUUGAGAAUUGGGUAUCAUCAAUUGAGUGUUAGAGAAGAAAAUGUCCCCAAGAUUGCUCUUAGAACGAGAUAUGGGCAUUAUGAAUUCUUAGUCAUGCCUUUUAGGUUAACUAAUGUCCCCGCUGCUUUCAUGGAUUUAAUGAACAUAAUAUUUUGUGCUUGCUUGGAUUAGUUUGUGAUUGUCCUUAUGGAUGACAUCUUGAUUUACUCAAGGAGUUUGGAGGAGCAUAAGUAGUAUUUGGUGACCACCCUUAGAACAUUAAGAAGACACCAAUUAUAUGGAAAGUUGGACAAAAGUGAGCUUUGGCUUACUGAAGUGAAUUUAUUAGGCCAUGUGGUUUUUGAGGCAGUAGUAGUGGACCAUUCCAAGGUGGAAAUUGUGCAAGAGUGGCAAAGGCCUACAAAUGUAUUUGAGGUUAAGAGUUUCUUGGGAUUGGUUAGAUAUUAUAGGAUGUUUUUGGAAGACUUCUCUAGAAUUGCAACACCGAUGACUCGGUUGACUAGAAAAUGAGUGAAAUUUGAAUGGAAUGAUGAGUGUGAGAAUGCUUUCCAAGAGUUGAAGUGGAAAUUGACCACUAUUCUAGUGUUAACUACUCUUACUAGUGGAAAGUUGUUUAUUAUUUAAUGUGAUGUUUUUACAGUAAGGCUAUGGUGCGUGCUAAUGCAGCAAGGCAAGGUGAUAGCUUAUGCCUCAAGGCAAUUAAAGUCGCAUCAGCGGAACUAUCCAACAAAUUAUUUGAAGCUUGCAGUAGUGGUGUUUGCCCUUAAGACUUGGAGACACUAUUUGUAUUGAGAGAAGUUUGAGGUGUACUUUGAUCAUAAGAGUUUGAAAUACAUCUUCACUCAAAAGGAUUUGAACUCUAGUCAAAGAAGAUGGAUGGAGACAUUGGAAGAUUAUGAUUUUGCUCUUCAUUACCAUCUUGGAAAGACGAAUAUUGUAGUAGAUGCCUUGAGUAGGAAGAACUAUGGUCAAUUGCCUAGCUUGUGGUUGAGAGAGUUUGAGCUGCAUGCAGUUAUUAAAGAUUUUGAGCUAUGUCUUGGUUGGGAAGUACAGGGUCCAUGCUUGUAUAGUAUAUCGGCUAGACCAUUCAUUAUCCAAAUAAUAGUGGAGACCCAAUUUCAUGAUGAGCUUUUAGAAAAAGUUAAAGCCCAAUUGGUAGAAGGUGAAGCAAAUGAAAAUUGGUCUAUACAUGUAGAUAGGAGUGUGAGAUUUAAAGGAAUAUUGUGUGUGCCAAAGGAUGUAGAGUUGAGGAAUGAACUUCUAGUAGAUGCUGAUAAGGCAAAGUAUACCAUCCACCCUGAGAGUGCCAAAAUGUAUCAAGACUUAAAGAGAUAAUUUUUGUGGAGUGGGAUGAAAUGAGACAUUGCUCAAUAUGUAGCCAAUUGUUAGCAAGUGAAAGAUGAAUACCAAAAGCUUACGAGAUUGUUGCCAAUUUUACCUACACUUGAGUGGAAGUGGGAUCAUAUCACUGUGGAAUUUGUGAUAGGGUUGCUAAGAAUUAGAAGAAAAAAAAUGGAGUUUGGGUGAUUGUGGACUAUCUUACUAAGUCAACUCAUUUUCUAGCCAUGAAGACUUGACUCCAUGAACUCUCUCGUUAAGUUGUAUAUAUAGGAGAUUGUGAGGUUGCAUGGGAUACCUUUGUUUAUAGUGUCUGACAAGGACCUUAAGUUUACUUCUCAAUUUUGGCAGAGUUUACAAAGGGUUAUGAGCACCCAAUUGAAUUUUAGCAUCGCUUUUCACCCUCAAACAGAUGGUUAGUUAGAAAAAGUAAUCCAAAUUUUAGAAGACAUGUUGAGGGCUUAUGUUUUGGACUUUGGAGGGAAUUGGGUAGAGUUCGCUUAUAACAAUAGUUACCAAUCUAGUAUUGGCAUAGCACCUUAUGAAGCACUCUAUGAGAGACCUUGUAGAUCACCCUUGUGUUGAAUAGAGUUGGGUAAUUAAGAGUCGUUUGUUGGGACCUGAGAUUGUCUAAGAGACUAUGAAAAAAAUACAACUCAUCAAGAAAAAACUUAAGAUCACUCAAGAUAGAUAGAAAAACUAUGCAAACCAAAGGAGAAGGGCUUUGGAGUUUGGGGAAAAGGAUUGGGUUUUUAUUAAGGUGUCCCCGUAAUCAAAGUGUGAUGACAACACCAUGGGAUUGAAGAAGCCACUUGGGAUCAUGAAGAAGAAAUUAGGCAACAUUAUUCGCAACUGUUCUUUAAUUUUUGAGGUAAACUCGUUUAAAUUUUGAGACAAAAUUUCUUUCAGGGGGGUAGGAUGUAAUGAUUGAGUAUUUUAAGCCAAGUUGGAAUUUCAAGUUUGAAAAUUCUUCCUUUUUGGUGGUGGUUGAAAAGUCAAAAAGUAGUUGGAAAAUACGUGUCAAUUUUGGAUUGAUGGAAUUUGAAAGAUUUUAUUGGUCAAUCAAGCGAGUUGAAUUUUCGUGCCACGUUAGCUUUUUAGCAGGAAAUUUCUUAGGAUUGUAGAAAUCAAAUUUUUUUCCCGAAAAUCAAAAAGCGAAAACAAAAAUAAAAUAAAUAAAUAAAUUUUAAAAAUUAAAAUAUUUGUGUGGUGUGUGAUAAUUUAUUUUGUGUGUUGUAAAAGAAUGAAUUAAGAAAAGAAAAUGAAUUGAAUUAAGGAAAAAAAAAACUAAAUUAAUAUAAUAUAAUAUAUAUAUAUACAUAUAUUGUUUUUGGAUUGGGCUGUCACCACCUUUAGUGGCUCGUUUAAAUAGAAAAGAAAAAGAACGAAGAAAGUAGAAAAUGAAGGAAAACUUAUAGAAGAGUCUUGGUGACUGCAGUGGAAAAAAAAAAAAACUACUUUUCGAUUGGUUGUUUCAAUGGCCAAACAUCAUCCUUUUCACGUGAAAUUUUAAGGGAAUACUUUACUCGACACGAGGAACAUUCAUACAGUGUUGGAUUUUGUUUUCAACGAUUGGAUCAUUAGAUCUGUGGUAGACGGUUUUAACACUAAAACUUUAAUUAAAUGCCCUUUUCUUAACAAAAAUUAUUGUUUUUGUUGUUAGAAGCUAAAUAAACAAUAUUUGUGAUACGAGGAAUUUUAUUGGAUGAUUUGGGAAUUUUUUUAGAAAUUUUGUGAUGACGAUAUUUUUUUUAUGGUUGUUAAAUGAUUGUGCUUGGGUUAUUAAAAUUAAUGGGAUCAUUGAGGAUAAAUGAAAUUAUGGUAGAAAUUAUGUUGGAUUGAUAUUGGGUAUAUUGAGAACUAAUUGAGAUGUUUUUGGUAAUUUAAUUGUGAAAAUAAUUGUAUUUGGUUAUUGAAAUUAUUGGGAUUGUUGACAAUAAAAGAAAUUUUAGUAUACAUUGUAAUUUUAUUGAUGUUUGGAUUAGUGAGAAUUUUGUAUGACAUUUGUAGAUGAUGAUAUGUAAUUUCAUUGCAUUUCAUAUGCAUCAUGGUUGUGUGAAGGAAAAUAAAAAUUUGUUGUAAGGUUGUAUGAAAUAAAAAAGAAAGAAAAAUAAAAUAAUGAUGAAAAGUAAAGGCCCGUGAAAGGUGAAUUAAGAAGGGAGUGAGAUCCUUAGGGUGAAAGACCAAAAAUUUACCCCGGGAAUACUCUAAACUGGGAGUGUAUUUAGGUACAGACAUGUUUUCUUUAUUGAAAGCUCGAGAACGACAAUACUUUUUAUGACUGUGUGUUACAUAUCCACAUGCAUUUUAUUAAUUGUUGAAAAUUGCUGAAUUGCUAUAAUUAUAGAAACUAAAAUGUUUGGGUUGGUUAAAUUAUGGUAGAAUGUUUAUUUUUUUGUAUACUUGAACCUUAGUAAUCCCAAAUUAACCUUUCCUUGGGUGUAAAGCACUCUACUGAGUAAUGUGAAAUGCUCAUCAUUUCCUUCUUAUAUAUAUUUAAAUGUAGAUGUGAUUCAUGAGGAUCCACAAAUGGGACAAGGAGGGCUUUAAGACGCCUCAGAAGAUUUUGGAGCAGCAUAAUGAAUUGUAGUGUAGUUGUUAUGUUGGUUUAUUUUGGAACUUGUAUUAACAAAUUUUGAAAUUAUAUAUUUGUAUUGAGACUUUAUUUUGAUUAAUUUGCUUAUAUUGUGGACUUUCAUUUUAGACUUGAGUUGGAGAUUACAUUGUUAUUGAAUUUCUUUGUUGCUCUUAAGUAAUGAUUGUUAUAUUGAUAAAUUGGAAUGUUAGUUAAAGGAAGUUCUAGUGUGAUUUAUAUUUAAAAAAAGAAAAAGAAAAUUCAAAGCGUUUUAGUUUACUGUUAGCUUGGAUUAGGAGGAACCCUUAGGAUCAAAUCUUUGACUUUGGAUCAUGGGCCAAAUUUUGAGUCGCCCAAAAUUCGGGUCGUGACAGCUCUAAGUCCUCAACUAUGUACUUCAAAGAAUAAGGAAGAGAAAAAGAGAGUAUCCUAAUUUUAUGGGGUAAUGACGUCAAGGGUAUUUGCUUUUCUCAUUUGAUUUGUCAUUGUCUAUUUAAAAUAAAUUCUUUUCUAUGAUAUAGGGCUUGAUCGUGGUUUGGUUGAAUCAUCAACACUACAAGCGUACGUGUAACAUGGGAUUGCAACACUAGAAUGGGCUGCAUGCCUUAAUCCCUAUGCUGACUGUGUGAGGGUGCCUUAGUCCAUAUGUUGACGACGAGGGAUAUACAUACCUUAUAAUCAUUGUGGUCUCAAUGUCAUAUAUAUUUGUGGAUCGUUUUAAAGCAAUCCAUUUAUAUAUAUAUAUAUAUAUAUAUAUAUAUAUAUAUAUAUAUAUAUAUAUAUUUCAGAUUUUCCAAAAUAUCAAUGUGAAAAAUCUAGUUGGCUUUUUACAACACAAGAUUGCUUUAUAUAAAUCUUAAGGUAUGACAUUAAGACUAACAUGCCGAGAAAUGUAUAUUUUAGCAAAUGACAUGUUAAGACAUGCAUGUCAUUAAGUUGUAUUUAUAAAAAUUGAUCUACCUAUAAAUAAAUAAAGGAGUGAAUAAAAAAAAAAAUUUGAUCAUCUCCACGUUUUUCUUUUUUAAAUUUUCAUUACCUACAAAUGGGAAUAAAAAAAUACAAAAAGACGUUCCUUGAGAUUUUUAAAAUUUGGUUGAAUAUAGGAUUCCCAUUAGGAUUCUGACAAACCAAACAUAUGUUAAAGACAACUACACUUUCAUCGUCUAGAUUUAAUAAUAUGUUUGACAAUAAAACGUCGUGUCACAAAGGGGGAAUCUACACAAAUUGGAUGGAUACUUGAUCAUGGAAAGCUUAUUUUAGUGAGGCUUACAUGCACGUUCUGAAAUAUAAGAGUAAUAAAAUAAGCAAGGCAACAGUAGAUAAACGUGACCAAUGAAGCAGCCGCCAUGUUGACUGUUGGAUGAAGCAGCUUGCCCUGUUGAAUGUUGGUCAUCCACGCUUAGUCAUGAAAACCGUGACAUUUACGAAUUCAGUCUUCUCUCUGGUCAUGCGAUCAGCAACAAUCUUUUUGUACCUGCCGAACACUUCCUCUAUUAUUCCGUCACCGAAGUGGCUUACAAGCAAUGGCUCUGCAACUGCUCUCAUCAACUUGGCCACGUUGUAUCCACCAUCUUUAUGAGCAUCUGAUGGGCAGAAUUCACCGUGGUACGCAUUCCAGUUCACUUCAGAAACCUCCAGCCGAUUUAUGGUGUAGGAUCCUUCCUUUUCAACCUCACAUUUUACUUCAGCUGGGGAAGGUGUAUAUUGAGGAAUAUUGAAGGAAUCCAUCUUCUCCUCAUCUAUGAGCCCCUGCAUUUAAAAAUGGUUAAUUAAUUUACAUGCAAUUUCAUAUAUAGUUACCACACAGGUGCUGUUGCUGAAUGAUUUGAUCUAUACAAAUUGGCAACAUUAAGGGAUGAAAGAAUUAAAACUGUACCUCUGAAACCAUAUCAUUGAGAGCCACAGCUAAGAGCUCCCAGAUAUAGCAACAUUCUUUGCUAGAGGGAUCUUCACUUCUUCUUCCUAAAAAUGUUAAAACCACAGUCCCUCCUCCUAGUAGUUCCUCCGACCGACACCUGAGAAACAUGGAGAAAUCGCCUUGGAAUUGCUCAUAGUAUGCUUUAAGCACGCUUGGUGGGCUCCAACUGGCCAUGUAAAUAUUCCCUUUGUUACUCUCCAGCCCUCGAGGAACCUGACGAACAAUUGAAAUUUCUAACUCACUUGCUUUCUUUUUGGUUUCUAAUAAAUCAUCAUAAGCCAGUAUUUUUAAUUAAAAGCAAAGAGUCACCUGAGACAACCAUUGGAGACUGUAAGAAGAAUGGACAAAAUGAAGACUUUUGCUGGGGAAGAGCCUGCCGUAGAAAGAGCCUGGAACUCCGGUUACAAAACAUGAUUCAGCGCCUGCUCCCAUUGUUUUCUGAAGAUCUUUUUGGAACUUGGGCAAGGAUUUGAAAAUGGUGUUGAAAUCAUUUCCCGGCAGAUCGUUCAAAAACACUUGAAUUUCGGGCAAUUGAUGCCCCAUUUUCUUCCCCACCUUGUCCACCGUAGUGACAACUUCCAAGACUGCAAAAAAAGUGUCGGGUCAAGAAGAACAGCCCAAGUCUGCGAUGCAUAGGCUGGCCGGAAAGUUGUUGCAGUAGAGAUUUGUUAUGGCGUCCUCGAUUAUAGGCUUUGUCAGGGAUAUUACUUUUUUCUG
Molecule: long non-coding RNA, 24527 nt
Filed under: Vitis vinifera (wine grape)
Lineage: Eukaryota; Viridiplantae; Streptophyta; Magnoliopsida; Vitales; Vitaceae
Description: long non-coding RNA (VVIN_LNC001175)
Source: RNAcentral